AAGUCGGUGCAAAUUUCACAUUACAUCCCUCGCACGUUUUCCUCUUUUUCCCUCUUCACUUCCACAUGUCUUGCAACGUGGCUAUCAUCUUCAAAUGCUUCCUUCCUUCACUUUUCUCUCAGAUGAGAAUAAUUGGAAGGCUUUAGUGCAAGAUUGAGAAGAUUAGAACGCAAAGGAAAUCAGCAAAUCAUCUAAAAUCGUUCAAAUCGUCAAGAGGGCUUUCAAGUUGUAGGCUACCAGGACCUUUAAUUUGCUUUUCAGGGUUUCUUAACUUGAAUGAAGUUGAUGCAUGAGCUGUUCCAUAGGAUGAUGAUCAUGACACUAGGCGGACCUGUGCCUUAGAGACUAAAAAUGAAGAUAGACUAGUUUAAUUAUUUCACGAACUCUUUUUUUUCCUGUUUAAGAUAAUGUAUUUCGCUUGUUAAAUAAAUAAAAUG
This 437-nucleotide long non-coding RNA is filed under the name Helianthus annuus (common sunflower). Lineage: Eukaryota; Viridiplantae; Streptophyta; Magnoliopsida; Asterales; Asteraceae. The record is from RNAcentral.